GUGGGGAAUAUUGGACAAUGGGCGAAAGCCUGAUCCAGCCAUGCCGCGUGUGUGAAGAAGGUCUUCGGAUUGUAAAGCACUUUAAGUUGGGAGGAAGGGUAGUAAGUUAAUACCUUGCUGUUUUGACGUUACCGACAGAAUAAGCACCGGCUAACUUCGUGCCAGCAGCCGCGGUAAUACGAAGGGUGCAAGCGUUAAUCGGAAUUACUGGGCGUAAAGCGCGCGUAGGUGGUUUUGUAAGUUGGAGGUGAAAUCCCCGGGCUCAACCUGGGAACUGCCUCCAAAACUGCAUGACUAGAGUACGGUAGAGAGUAGUGGAAUUUCCUGUGUAGCGGUGAAAUGCGUAGAUAUAGGAAGGAACACCAGUGGCGAAGGCGACUACCUGGACUGAUACUGACACUGAGGUGCGAAAGCGUGGGGAGCAAACAGGAUUAGAUACCCCUGUAGUCC
RNAcentral lists this ribosomal RNA (450 nucleotides) under uncultured bacterium. RNAcentral's name for it is "bacterial SSU rRNA". It matches the Rfam family "Bacterial small subunit ribosomal RNA", at positions 354 to 796 of the family's 1533-position model. The record is from RNAcentral.